Molecule: ribosomal RNA, 301 nt
Filed under: uncultured bacterium
Lineage: Bacteria
Description: partial 16S ribosomal RNA
Rfam family: Bacterial small subunit ribosomal RNA
Source: RNAcentral
CAGCAGCCGCGGUAACACGUAGGUCCCGAGCGUUGUCCGGAUUUAUUGGGCGUAAAGCGAGCGCAGGCGGCUAGAUAAGUCUGAAGUUAAAGGCUGUGGCUUAACCAUAGUAUGCUUUGGAAACUGUUUAACUUGGGUGCAGAAGGGGAGAGUGGAAUUCCACGUGUAGCGGUGAAAUGCGUAGAUGUAUGGAGGAACACCGGUGGCGAAAGCGGCUCUCUGGUCUGUAACUGACGCUGAGGCUCGAAAGCGUGGGGAGCAAACAGGAUUAGAUACCCCCGUAGUCCCUGUCUCUUAUACU